Molecule: ribosomal RNA, 467 nt
Filed under: uncultured bacterium
Lineage: Bacteria
Description: partial 16S ribosomal RNA
Rfam family: Bacterial small subunit ribosomal RNA
Source: RNAcentral
GAUGAACGCUGGCGGCGUGCUUAACACAUGCAAGUCGAACGGAAAGGCCUCUGCUUGCAGGGGUACUCGAGUGGCGAACGGGUGAGUAACACGUGGGUGAUCUGCCCUGCACUUCGGGAUAAGCCUGGGAAACUGGGUCUAAUACCGGAUAGGACAAUGGUUUGGAUGCUGUUGUGGAAAGUUUUUCGGUGUGGGAUGAGCUCGCGGCCUAUCAGCUUGUUGGUGGGGUAAUGGCCUACCAAGGCGUCGACGGGUAGCCGGCCUGAGAGGGUGUACGGCCACAUUGGGACUGAGAUACGGCCCAGACUCCUACGGGAGGCAGCAGUGGGGAAUAUUGCACAAUGGGGGCAAGCCUGAUGCAGCGACGCCGCGUGGGGGAUGACGGCCUUCGGGUUGUAAACUCCUUUCGCUAGGGACGAGGCGUUUUUGUGACGGUACCUGGAGAAGAAGCACCGGCUAACUACGUG